GAAAACGGGAGCCUUGGAUCAAUCUUAAGAAGUGAUACCUUCAUAAAAGAAUUGAAUUGGUUGAAAAGGGUCAAUAUUGUAAAGGGCGUGGCUAAUGGUUUGGCUUAUAUGCAUCAUGACUGCUCACCACCUAUAAUUCAUAGAGAUAUUUCCAUUGCUAACAUCCUUCUUGAUUCUGAUUAUGAGGCACAUAUUUCUGAUUUUGGCACAUCCAAGCUUUUAAAGCUAGACUCAUCCAACUGGACCACAAUUACAGGCACCUAUGGUUAUAUCGCACCAGGUAAAACAAUCUUGUGAUCUUAGUUCUGCAUCUUCUUAAGUUUCAUGAUAUAUAUAAAGAUGUAUAUGAACAUAUAUGUAUCUAUGUUAGAAUCUUUUGGGAUUGUUAUAACUUUUUUUUUGUUUUUGUCUCGUGUUUCUUUGGAUAUAGAACUUGCUUAUACGAUGGUGGCAACCGAGAAAUGUGAUGUGUAUAGCUUUGGAGUUGUUGCACUAGAAGUGGUCAUGGGAAAGCAUCCUGGAGACCUGAUAACAUCUUUACCAACAUUGUCUGUAGAUUAUUUGGUACCAAAAAAUGUGGGAGAUAGUCGGAUACCUCCUCCCUCAUCUCAAGUUGAGAAACAACUUGAGUUGGUUUUGAGUCUCUCAAGAGCAUGUUUGAACUCCAAUCCACAUGAAAGACCAACAAUGCAACAAGUUUCAAAUAUGUUAAUGAAGGAUCUGCUUUGAAUUGACAUCUCUUGCUUGAUAUAGGCUACUUUAAGUGUCCAUUAUUUUUCGCAAGUUCCGUAUAAUGCACCGUUUCCAUAUGUACUCAUUUGAAUGGCUUUUUGUGAAGAAACUUCACAUUUGUUUGUAGUAGUAAAGAAAUAGGUCAAUGAAGAUUACUAUACAUCUAAAAACACACUACUGGAAACCAAGGACAAUGCCAUACACACAUGCCACUUGGUUAGUAUUACUAUACAAUUUUAUUCUCGCACAACAUGUGGGUACAUGUCUGGUUAAUAUGAUAUAUGGGCCACAACUUGGGUCGUACAUCAUGUUAAUGGUCAUAUAUGUCAUUCAAAUAUACAAAAUAUAUUUUAGAUUAUAUGAUGAGCCAUUAAAGUUAAUGGUCAUAUAUGUUAAUGGAGAAUUUUAUCAAACACAUGGUAUUAUGGAUGAGAUGUGUCUUUAUAAAGAUGGAAAAUUUUAAAUAUUAAGAAAAAAUUUCAAAUAUCAAAGCAAUUUAAAGAGUCUGGAACAUUUUUGACUCACACUCCAUUCCGAGCAUGCUUUUGAGCUAUUGAACUCCAAAUUUGACAGCCAAAAAUAUUUACACAAGAUAACUAACUAAAUAGUUCAACUAAAACAUACAUGAUUUCAGUUAUUGGUAUGCAUUUCACUUCACUUUGAUUUAAAACAUGACUAGAAUAGUUCAUGUGGAUGAGUUUUGUAUAACAUGGAUAUAACAUUAAUUUCAGUUUCCUGGUUUAUGUCUUACCUCCCCUUCAUUUCAUUUCAACAUGAUAUAUAUGGCAUGAGAUGGAUGUAAUUUUAAAUGAUUUUAUGUUCGUUUCACAAAUUAAUUAAAGUUUUGACCAACUAAUUUAGCACCUCAAAAAUGUAACAUCCAUCUUCUAUUGAAGAUACAGAGCAUGAAGGGAAGAAAAAGUUGAAUGUAAAUCUUAGUCAAUCCACAAACCUCUGAUUCAAUCCUCCCAAAAUUAAUAGCUCUGAAUCUAGAAACAAUACUUUGAAUUCCGGCGUUAGAACUAAAACUUUUGCAAGACUUUUCCGAUUCAAAAGACACCCAUACCCACAAAUCACCAACAUAUCUAAUCUUUAAGCUCGAAAAUCCUUCUUCAUGACAUAAUUUUAAAAGAUUAGGAAUAGAUACUGCAUCUCUCACCUCAGCAAAGACUUCCCUUUAUCAGUAAAAGAUGGUCUCUUUUCCUGCUCCCUUUUUUUCUUUGCUGAAUUGGAAUGGAAUGGUUAAAGAUAACCCCUUCUUUUCUUCUAAACCGAGCAAUUUACCAAACCAAAUAUCACAUAACUUCUUCUCCAGUUCUUGAUUAUCUCUGAACUGAAUGAAGCGAACAAACCCGAACCUUCUCCCCAUCUUGGAUCGUUUCUGAGCAAUGUAAAUGUCAACCACCGUUCCUAUCUUCGCACAUCUGUUUUUAAGAUGUUGGCAUCUGUUUGGGGCACUAUUGUUGUUGUAUUCUCUGAUGAUGAUAAGUCCAAUUGUAUUUCAUUAGGGAAGGUUUGCGUUAGGAUAGGGGUGAUGUCAUUUAUUCAGGAGACAAUUAUUGAGGUGAUUGAUCGAAAGGAAUUCUUGGUUCAUAUCAAGGUAACGCCUUUAAUGAGUUCAUUUAUGAAGCGAGUUUGGUGGAUAUUCCUAUGGGCAGAAUUUAGGAAGUUUACUCGAGCUGAUCAAGGUGACAAUAAAAUGAGUCGUCUAGAUAGAUUUUUGGUUUCUGAAAGCUUCAUCGACGUGUUUCCUGAUCUACAUUGCUUGGCUAAAGAGAGACGUUGGUCUGAUCAUUGUCCGAUUCUUUCAUUGGAGGAUGUGUUAGAAUAUGGUCCAAUUUCCUUCGAACUUUUUAAUUCUUGGAUUAUGAUGGAUGGUUUUGUCGGAGAUUGUUCACUUAGCGUGUGAUGAGUUUAUUUCAGAUUUUAGUUGGAGUAGGUUUGUUCAUCUGAAAAAUAAACUUAAAUUUGUUAAAAGCAGAAUUAAGGAGUGACAGUUGCUGAUGUGGGCAUCUAAAGAGGAGAUCCGGGUCUUACAUGUUGCCUCACGUUACCAAAUUGCUGAUAUCUUCACCAAAGGACUUCCAUGAGCUCUAUUUUCUGAUUUUAGAUUCGGUCUAAGCAUCUAUGAUCCUCCUCCUUAGACUGAGGGGUUAUAUUAGACUAGAAAAUCAAUUAUGUAAACUAUGUGGUAGCAAUGUGUAAAUAUUGUAUCUAUAUAUAUUUUCCACUGUAAUACAAGGAAGUGAUUUUUGGCCAUAUCCUAUUAGGGUGUGUACAAUUUUUUUGGGCAGAACUAACAAAUGUUUGGAAACCAUUUAUUUUCUGUAAAUAUUCUUUGUUUUCAAGUACUCUAUGAAAUCACAACACCACACUAUGAACAACCCAUACAGUUGAUGUGGCAUUAAAUUCGAAAAACAAAAAAAAAAAAAACAUUUAGGCAUUUCAUCACACAGUUAAUAUUCAUUGAACUUGCAUGUACAAAUGAUCGUAAACUGUUACUAUUCAUUAAACUCACAUUUGGUUGGAUUCAAAUGAUUUGGUUACUAUUCAUUAAGCUAGAUGUAUUUAGUAGUAUUUAUUAGGAUUAAUUUAAUGGUUAAAAGUGGGUCAAUAGUUGUGUCGUUUGGAAAGUAACUGUCACAUGACAGUUACCAAAACUGUGUAUAAAUAUGUAUGUGGAUUUCGACUGAUCAAUAAAAAAAGUUCAUAUUCUCUUAUUAUACCAAAAAGUCUUCUUCCUUUUUUUUCAUUUAACAUUUGCAGAGAAUACUUCUUGCACUUCUUUAAUUUAAUAUUCAUAUGACCCACUUUUAACCAUUAAAUUAAUCCUAAUAAAUACUACUAAACACGUCUAGCUUAAUAUUCAAACUCGGUCUGAAAGUAGAAUUGUUGGGUGCCUUAUAUGGUCUCUUUGGAAAACACGCAAUUCCGGAGUUUUUAAUCAUCAAGAUAAAACUGGUGCAUUGAUCGAUCCUGUUUCUUCCUUACUGCAUUCUUACAUGCUGUGAGAUGGCUUUCUCCUAUUUGGUUCAAGUUUUGACCAUUUUGCCCCUAGUGUUGGUUUCGCUUUCUCUUUAUCUUCACUAAUAUGUGAAGAUAAGGACCCUAGGAGAGAGAAUUGAUUCAAGAAAUAUGAUGUGCAGAUUAAUUCUAAAGAUUUGUCUGAACUAAUCAGUUGUGGAAAUAUGAGAAAAAAACAAUAAUAAAGUUGUAUUUCACUUUUUAUUUAAUUAUCUUCAUUUUUAAGUGUAUGUGAAAAGGAAUUAACAGAUUGCAGGGAACAAUAAGAACCAUUAGUUUUUAUUAAAUUAUCUUCAUAUUUAUAUUCUUUAGUUUACGGUUUUCCCUCAUUCACACAUUAUGUGGACACACCAUGUCUAUUUGUUGUUUAGAUUCUUUUAAAGGACCCUUAUGUUAUGUCCCUAUCUCUAUUGACCCAUUCACACACUUUUCACGUCUUAAUUAGUUACAGAACUAAUUCUGAAGUAAAAGACGCUUAGAGUGAAAUUUCUAUUAGCAUUUAUCACAAAAACAAAAAAUAAAUAUCUCUAAAUAAUCAAGUUAAGUUAUAUUAUUACAUUGUUAAAUCCAACACUUAAUAACAUAUAAUACCACAUGGAUUCUUUUUGUAAUCCUAGCGUGGGUUACAACAAAAUAUAUUGUUCUAAAAAAAGGAUUAAUGUCAUGACAGAUAGAUACAAAGUGUAAUACACACCUUUGUGGAAAAUUUUGACACGUUAAAAGACACAGCCUUGUGGAAAAAUAUGACAUUUCAUAAAUUUCCUUUACAAGUACAUUAAAAAUAAAACAAGAAAAAGGUAGCUCAAGUAUAAAUUAGGACAUGCAACCCAUUCAUUUUUUUUUUAUUAAAAGCAACAUGGCAAAGAAAAUAAUGUCUUCUUCAAAUUUAUUAUUUUUCUCUCUAACUCUAUUAAUCAUCACACUCUCCCACACACCAAAUUUUGGUUCUGCUUCUUUGGAGGAAGCCAAUGCUCUUCUUAAAUGGAAAGCAAGCCUUGAAAUCCCCAAAAACUCCUUACUCUCUUCAUGGAUUCCCCUCCCUUUGAAUUCCAGUGCAUCGGUUCCAUGCACUUCUAGGUUUGGAGUAGUUUGCAAUGCUGAUAGGAGCAUUCACAGGUUGAACCUCAGUUCAUCCGACUUAAAAGGUACACUCCACCAAUUUCCAUUCUCUUUGCUACACAAUCUUACGCAUUUUGAUCUCAAUACAAACAACUUCUUUGGCCCCAUCCCACCAGAAAUCAGACUCCUUACCAAUCUUGUAUAUCUUGAUUUUUCAAUGAAUAAGUUUUCUGGUUCCAUUCCUGUUGAACUUGGGAAUUUAAAGUCUCUCACCGAUCUUGCGGUGUACAACAAUCAACUUAGUGGUUGUAUUCCUUCAUCAUUUGGUGAUUUGACAUCUUUAAAUGCCCUUUAUUUGUAUGAAAAUCAUCUCUCUGGUCUCAUUCCUGUUGAACUUGGGAAUUUAAAGUCUCUCACAAAGCUUGAGGUGGGCCACAAUCAACUUAGUGGUUAUAUUCCUUCAUCAUUGGGUGAUUUGACAUCUUUAAAUGUCCUUUAUUUGUUCCAAAAUCAACUCACUGGUCCUAUUCCUGUUGAACUUGGGAAUUUAAAGUCUCUCAUUGAUCUUGAGGUAAGCAACAAUCAACUUAGUGGUUCUAUUCCUUCAUCAUUGGGUAAUUUGACAUCUUUGAAUGUCCUUUAUUUAUAUGAAAAUCAACUCUCUGGUCCCAUUCCAGUUGAACUUGGGAAUUUAAAGUCUCUCACGGAUCUUGCGGUGCACAACAAUCAACUUAGUGGUUCUAUUCCUUCAUCAUUGGGUAAUUUGACAUCUUUGAAUGUCCUUUAUUUAUAUGAAAAUCAACUCUCUGGUCCCAUUCCAGUUGAACUUGGGAAUUUAAAGUCUCUCACGGAUCUUGCGGUGCACAACAAUCAACUUAGUGGUUCUAUUCCUUCAUCAUUGGGUAAUUUGACAUCUUUGAAUGUCCUUUAUUUAUAUGAAAAUCAACUCUCUGGUCCCAUUCCAGUUGAACUUGGGAAUUUAAAGUCUCUCACGGAUCUUGCGGUGCACAACAAUCAACUUAGUGGUUCUAUUCCUUCAUCAUUUGGUGAUUUGACAUCUUUAAAUCACCUUUAUAUGCAUCACAAUCAGCUUGCUGGUCCCAUUCCUAGUGAACUUGCCAAGUUGAAGUAUCUCACUGAUUUUCAGGUGAACAACAAUAAAAUUAGUGGUUAUAUUCCUUCAGAGUUUGGAAAUUUAACUAAAUUACAUAGACUUAAUCUGUCUUCGAAUAAUUUGGUUGGUGAGAUCCCAAACGAGUUUGGGAAGAUGAAAAAUAUGUUGGAAUUGUACUUGGCAGGUAACCAUCUUUCAGGUGUUAUACCUGUAGANUGCAGGUAACCAUCUUUUAGGUGUUAUACCUGUAGAGCUUGGAUUUUGUGAACUCCUUGAAGUACUCGAUCUAUCCAAAAAUAGAUUGAAUGGUUCGAUUCCAACAAGUAUCGGACAAUGGGCACAUAUCCACUUCUUGAAUCUUAGUAAUAACAAGCUCAGUCAAAAAAUUCCAUCGGAGAUUAGUACAUUAGUUCAUCUUACGGAACUUGAUUUAUCUCAUAACUUUCUCACGAAAGAGAUACCAUCUGGAGUUCAAAGCUUGCAGAGUUUGCAAAAAUUGGAUCUUUCUCAUAAUAGACUAUCUGGUUCUAUUCCAGACGCUUUUAAAAGUUUGCCUAGCGGGAUUGAUAUCAACCUUUCUUUCAAUAAUCUCUCAGGUCCAGUCCCCCCUUAUGCCAACUUUGUGAAUGCGUCCAUAGAAAGAAAUCCAGAUUUGUGUGGGAAUAUUACGAGAGUGAAACUUUGUCCAACUCAGAUUAUGAAGAAGAAAAAUGAUCCCUUUCAUCAUAAGCUUAUCCUUGUAAUUAUGAUCCCCCUUAUCGGGGCUAUUUUACUUGGUGUAUUCACGUAUGGUCUCGUUUCUUAUCAACAACAAAAGAAAAAGUCUCCACAAAAACCAUUGGAUGAAGAAAGUGGUGAUUAUUUCUCUACUACAACUUUUGAUGGAAAAGUGGUGUAUGUUGAUAUCUUGAAGGCAACAAAUGACUUCGAUGAAGCCUAUUGCAUUGGGACCGGAGGAUAUGGGACUGUGUACAAAGUCGAGCUACAACCUAACAAUGUGGUAGCUGUCAAGAAACUUCACUCAUCAUCUGAGAAAGUUGAUCAUAAUGGAUUCAUUAAUGAGGUGCGAGCAUUAACGAACAUAAGGCAUCGAAACAUAGUGAAACUCUAUGGAUAUUGCUCCCAUGUACGCCACUCAUUUUUGAUUUACGGUACCUUGAAAACGGGAGCCUUGGAUCAAUCUUAAGAAGUGAUACCUUCAUAAAAGAAUUGAAUUGGUUGAAAAGGGUCAAUAUUGUAAAGGGCGUGGCUAAUGGUUUGGCUUAUAUGCAUCAUGACUGCUCACCACCUAUAAUUCAUAGAGACAUUUCCAUUGCUAACAUCCUUCUUGAUUCUGAUUAUGAGGCACAUAUUUCUGAUUUUGGCACAUCCAAGCUUUUAAAGCUAGACUCAUCCAACUGGACCACAAUUACAGGCACC
This 7348-nucleotide long non-coding RNA is filed under the name Lactuca sativa (garden lettuce). Its description in RNAcentral is "long non-coding RNA (LSAT_LNC002436)". Lineage: Eukaryota; Viridiplantae; Streptophyta; Magnoliopsida; Asterales; Asteraceae. The record is from RNAcentral.